CAGCAGCCGCGGUAAUACGGGGGGGGCAAGUGUUACUCAUCAUGACUAGGCAUAAAGGGUGUUAAGAUUACUAAAGUUUGUCAUUAUAGAAAAAUCAAUUGAAAUAUUGAAAAUGUAUCUAAACAAUUUAGUUAGAGUAGAUUAGAGAAUAGAAUUACUAGUUUUUGAGGGGUAGAAUCCGACUAGAAGAUUAGGAGGAACAAGGGCGAAGGCACCUAUUUAUGAUCAACUAACAUUGAUAUACUAAAGCGUGGGGAGCGAACAGGAUUAGAUACCCUGGUAGUCCACGCCCUGACCUAUGAGUGUGAAAAUAUCUAUUUUUGUUUGAGAGCUUUGCUUUAAACUAUACAGCUUUAUGCUUGUUGAAAGAAAAAUUUAUUUUAGCUAACGCGAAAGCAUUCCGCCUGGGGACUACGGCCGCAAGGUUGAAACUCAAAGGAAUUGACGGAGGAUCACAAGCGGUGGAGCAUGUGGCUUAAUGCGUAAUAACGCGCAAAACCUUACCAGUUUUUGAAUGUUAGAGGAUUUACUUUAAAAAAGUAUUAAAUUCAUUUCUUUUAUUCUUUGAGUUAAAAAAAUGAUUUUUAGCACAGGAGCUGCAUGGCUGUCGUCAGUUCGUGCCGUGAGGUGUUUGGUUCAGUCCAUUAACGAACGCAACCCCCAAUUCUAGUUUGAGGAUUCAUAAUAUUUUUUUAUGAUACUUAUUAGGAGGACAAUCAUUGAAAAGUGAAGGAAGAGGGAAGAAGUCAAGUCAGUAUGGCCUCGAUAAACUGGGCCGCCGCACAUGCUACAAUGCUUGUUACAGAACGUAGCAAAAACGUGAGUUUGAGCAAAUCGUGAAAAACAAGCCUAGUUCAGAUUACUCUCUGCAACUCGGGAGUA
Molecule: ribosomal RNA, 882 nt
Filed under: uncultured Alphaproteobacteria bacterium
Lineage: Bacteria; Pseudomonadati; Pseudomonadota; Alphaproteobacteria
Description: partial 16S ribosomal RNA
Rfam family: Bacterial small subunit ribosomal RNA
Source: RNAcentral